AUGUACUGCGCGCACAUACCGGUUUUGAGUGUGCCGUCCACGCCCGCCUGACGAUUGCUUGCUACGUCUGCUUGGCC
This is a small RNA of Xanthomonas oryzae pv. oryzae, 77 nucleotides long. It matches the Rfam family "Xanthomonas sRNA sX9". NCBI's taxonomy places the organism in Bacteria, Pseudomonadati, Pseudomonadota, Gammaproteobacteria, Lysobacterales, Lysobacteraceae. The record is from Rfam.